AGGACGAACGCUGGCGGCGUGCUUAACACAUGCAAGUCGAGCGGUAAGGCCCUUCGGGGUACACGAGCGGCGAACGGGUGAGUAACACGUGGGUGAUCUGCCUCGCACUCUGGGAUAAGCCUGGGAAACUGGGUCUAAUACCGGAUAUGACCACGAAUCGCAUGGUUUGUGGUGGAAAGGUUUACUGGUGCGAGAUGGGCCCGCGGCCUAUCAGCUUGUUGGUGGGGUAACGGCCUACCAAGGCGACGACGGGUAGCCGGCCUGAGAGGGCGACCGGCCACACUGGGACUGAGACACGGCCCAGACUCCUACGGGAGGCAGCAGUGGGGAAUAUUGCACAAUGGGCGAAAGCCUGAUGCAGCGACGCCGCGUGAGGGAUGACGGCCUUCGGGUUGUAAACCUCUUUCGACAGGGACGAAGCGCAAGUGACGGUACCUGUAGAAGAAGCACCGGCCAACUACGUGCCAGCAGCCGCGGUAAUACGUAGGGUGCGAGCGUUGUCCGGAAUUACUGGGCGUAAAGAGCUUGUGGGCGGUCUGUCGCGUCGAUCGUGAAAACGUGCAGCUCAACUGCGCGCCUGCGGUCGAUACGGGCAGACUAGAGUCUUCAGGGGAGACUGGAAUUCCUGGUGUAGCGGUGAAAUGCGCAGAUAUCAGGAGGAACACCGGUGGCGAAGGCGGG
RNAcentral lists this ribosomal RNA (681 nucleotides) under Nocardia otitidiscaviarum. Its description in RNAcentral is "bacterial SSU rRNA". It matches the Rfam family "Bacterial small subunit ribosomal RNA", at positions 26 to 725 of the family's 1533-position model. The record is from RNAcentral. Lineage: Bacteria; Bacillati; Actinomycetota; Actinomycetes; Mycobacteriales; Nocardiaceae.